Molecule: long non-coding RNA, 323 nt
Organism: Oncorhynchus keta (chum salmon)
Lineage: Eukaryota; Metazoa; Chordata; Actinopteri; Salmoniformes; Salmonidae
Exons: 3
Source: RefSeq, a predicted model, not a curated record
AGCCCAGCUGAUUUGUAGGGGUCCAGACUGUCUAGCCCAGCUGAUUUGUAGAGGUCCAGACUGUCUAGCCCAGCUGAUUUGUAGAGGUCCAGACUGUCUAGCCCAGCUGAUUUGUAGAGGUCCAGACUGUCUAGCCCAGCUGAUUUGUAGAGGUCCAGACUGUCUAGCCCAGCUGAUUUGUAGAGGUCCAGACUGUCUAGCCCAGCUGAUUUGUAGAGGUCCAGACUGUCUAGCCCAGCUGAUUUGUAGAGGUCCAGACUGUCUAGCCCAGCUGAUUUGUAGAGGUCCAGACUGUCUAGCCCAGCUGAUUUGUAGGGGUCCAG